This 693-nucleotide small RNA is filed under the name Pongo abelii (Sumatran orangutan). Its description in RNAcentral is "processed transcript". The record is from RNAcentral. Lineage: Eukaryota; Metazoa; Chordata; Mammalia; Primates; Hominidae.
UAGUCUGUUUGGGCUGCUGUAAUAGAAUACCUUAGACUGGGUGGCUUACGCACAGCAGGAAUUUAUUUCUCACAGUUCUGGAGGCUGGAGGCUCGAGAUCAGGGUGCCAGCGCAUUCAGGUUGUGGUGACGGCGCUCUCCCGGGUUGCACAGGGCCAGCUUCCUAACCGUGUUCUCACGUGGUGAUCCACUCACCUCCCUAGAGGCCCCACCUCGUCAUACCAUCCCUGUGGGUUAUAAUUUCAACGUAGGGAUUUGGGGAGGACACCAAUAUUCAGACCAUAGCAACCCUCUGCUUCCUCUUGUCUUGCUGGAAUGGAACUGGCCUGUCUUCCCUACUGGAAUAUAAACUCCAUGAUGGUAGAAGCCAUGUUGCUUUGCCCACCAUGGGUAGCAUGCGGAAGACGCCGGACUCUUCCUUAAAUAGAUACGUGUGUGAAUGGACAGCGGGCUCAUGAUUCACGUAAGAGUCAACAGCUCCGGAAGCCUCUUGGCGUCACUCGCAUUGCUCCUCUGCCGACUCCCGAAGGUUCUCAAGGGUAGGGUGUACCAUAUUUCUUUUGCAACCCCAGCACCAAGCAAAGCACCUGCUACUUCGUCGGUAUUCAUUGUUCCGGCUAUGAAAGCUUAGACUAGGAAAGGAUCUUGGAACAGUCUGGUCCACUGGUUCCUGAAUGCCCGACCACGGACCUGC